UGCAGUUAUUGCAGAGCAGGAGCUCUGUGGGAAAACUUGUCGAUAUCUUCGUUCAACUAACUUAGUAGUAAGACGGUUACUUCAAGAUUACCCUAUAAUGUAGAAUGGCUGCUUGGUUUGCGUUACACGCCCCUAACUAUAACAGUAAACAGCAGUACGAAAUUCCGCUGCUGCGAACGGGCAGCUCAGGCGGCGGAGGACAAGAAGCUAAAGGUGUCUAGUCCGUAAGUUGUUUCUUUGUUAGCAUGGCGAGGACGUUUGUGGAAAAGGAAGCUGUCAGAAUGAUUGAAUAUACAAUUGUCCAGCUGAUGGAGUUUGUUGGCGUGUCGCCUGGCUUUCAUUGGGAGAAAGAGCAGUCCCCGGGUCGGCACUUCAAAUAAGGACGCUAGCUAGCUCUCGGUUGAGCUAAAAAUUCUACGGCAGUUCUGAGACGGACGGAGCAUAAGCGCUGCUGCUCUGCUCGCAGCCACUAGUUUAGAUGCUACUGCGGCUGAAGAUACCUGGUAGCAGAAGAAGCAACACUCGACACAAAGUUUUGAUUACAAUCAGCACAAUGUGAGAGCAACAAUGGACAAAGAACUCAACAGAUUCAAAUGUAAUCAGGGCUUGUUAUUAUGACAGUGAGUGACUACUACCGCGCAAACGCACAUGGCUGUUACCAUAGUUACAAGAGGCAGAGAGUUACUGGCGACCAGCCCGCAGCCUGCAUUCCACUGCGAAGGGAAGAACUGAGCAAUACCGAUUGCACUGCUCCACAGCUACACUCGCUAGUAGUAGAUCAUGUACAUAUAGAUGCCCCAUCACGCACCAGUGUGGAACAUGCAUGUCUGCCUCAAGAGGCUACCACCGUAUGUACAUGUAUGCAUCUUGGACGUGCCGCGGUCAAUUGCCGGAGAGACAUACAGUGCACGGGCAUGCAGACUGCAUCAGUGUCAGGAACCGUUUGUGUCGUGUGACUGUGCCGGGUGCAUGGGAUCUGCCGAUCCAAUCUGACCUGGGUAACACACAACAUACUAGACUGGACAUCAGCUCGUCAACAUUAACCCAAGUUUUGCUGCCGCAUGUGAUGUUGGUUUUAGGGUGCAAGUCUUUUUUGUCUGUGAAAAUGUGUGUUGGACCACCCAUCGUUUCUUCAUUUGCAUUCAAUGGCAAGGCGGAAUCUUUUACCAGGAGUUUGAAUAUAUGGGGGUUUUUCUUUCGUUUUUUCUUUGAACCGUGCUCAAGCUGACGGUACCCGUGCUCUGCUGCAUAGGAUGUGAUGAUGAAUUGAUAUUAAAUUUCUCUCCCACUGCAGAAGCGUUCUUUCCGCACACCAUCUCACUUUUCUAAACAGUCUCUGGCCUGCGAUAAACGUACCGAUAAUUCUAUUACAAUUUUCGGGGUGGGGCUGGGGGAUAUGCACACACAUCCUUGGGUAGCUGCAAUGUUGCGCGAUUGUAUUGUUGAGGCCAACGAUGCUCUGACCACUGACCUAUGGUUACUAUUUAUUAUUCCUGUAGCUAUGCAAAAGACGUUACCGCGAGAUUCCACACUUUUUUCUUUCAUGAAAAAUAAUAAUAAGUGUAUUGAUGCAAGUCAUGAAUCAUGAUGUCUCAUGACAUCUCACAGCGUGAUUUCACUCCUCGAUCUCUUAUGUUGAUUGUAAAUGUCCAUUGCCUUGACAACCGACAACUUGAGAUAUUGCUCCUGCGUGCCAAGAGCCAUGUUGGAUCUGGGUGUGUGCCUACUGUGUCAGUGCUGCAUGCAUUUGUGUGUGUUUGUGCGUGUGUGUGUGUGUGUGUGUGUGUGUGUG
This is a long non-coding RNA of Sycon ciliatum, 1792 nucleotides long. RefSeq lists it as uncharacterized. Lineage: Eukaryota; Metazoa; Porifera; Calcarea; Leucosolenida; Sycettidae. The record is from RefSeq and is a predicted model, not a curated record. The transcript has 2 exons.